This 446-nucleotide ribosomal RNA is filed under the name uncultured bacterium. RNAcentral's name for it is "bacterial SSU rRNA". It matches the Rfam family "Bacterial small subunit ribosomal RNA", at positions 330 to 793 of the family's 1533-position model. The record is from RNAcentral.
GCCAGACUCCUACGGGAGGCAGCAGUGGGGAAUAUUGCACAAUGGGGGGAACCCUGAUGCAGCGACGCCGCGUGGGUGAAGGAGUACUUCGGUACGUAAAGCCCUAUCAGCAGGAAAGAAAAUGACGGUACCUGACUAAGAAGCCCCGGCUAACUACGUGCCAGCAGCCGCGGUAAUACGUAGGGGGCAAGCGUUAUCCGGAUUUACUGGGUGUAAAGGGAGCGUAGACGGCAGUGCAAGUCCGGGGUGAAAGCCCGGGGCUCAACCCUGGGACUGCUCUGGAAACUGUAAAGCUGGAGUGCGGGAGGGGCAAGCGGAAUUCCUGGUGUAGCGGUGAAAUGCGUAGAUAUUAGGAGGAACACCAGUGGCGAAGGCGGCUCACUGGACGGUAACUGACGUUGAGGCUCGAAAGCGUGGGAAGCAAACAGGAUUAGAUACCCGGGUAA